UACUAUGACUCUUAUCAAGUAGCGAAUACCUCGUCACUUAAUUAGUGACCUGCAUGAACGGAGCUAUGAGGUUCUCACUGUCCCAAACUGUCUCUCAGCGAACCAACUGUAGUGGGAACGGUCACUAGAUAUCCAGCGGGGAAAGAAGACCCUGUAGAGCUUCACUUUGGUCUAGUCUUGUAUAGUUCCUGCGGGGGUGUAGACUAGGUGGGAGAGCAAUCGAUUCUGAAAAACCACUACCCUGUUUGGAAUUAUGCUUACCUAUCACAAGGAAUAGGACUAGAUAGAAAGUUUGGCUGGGGCGGCACACCUUCGAAAGAGCAGCGAAGGUGUCCUAAGUUGAGCUCAGUGAGGACAGAAAUCUCACGUUGAGGAUAAGGCCAAAAGCUCAAUUUACUGUGCCUUUUUGUACUAGGAUCAGUUACGAAAGUAAGGCCUAACGAUCCCUAAAUAGCCUCAGGUGCGUGAGGAUUGGGGUGACAGACAAGUUACCUCCGGGACAACUGGCUUGUGGCUGCUAAGAGAUCAAAUCAACGCAGCUUUUUGAUUCUUCGAUGUCGGCUCUUCCUAUCCUAGUGAUGUACAAGUUGCUAAGGGUCGGAUUGUUCACCCGUAUUAGGGAUCGUGAGCUGGGUUUAGACCGUCGUGAGCCAGGUUUGUUUUAUCCUACUGGAUAUAGCAUCAUGAUAGUAGAUUGAUUUAGUACGAGAGGAACUGUUGAUUAUGGCCUCUGGUUAGCGAUUAUCGGAAACGGUAUGUCGCGCAGCUACGCCGUCUGGGAUAAUGGCUGAAAGCCUCUUAAGCCAGAAGCCCAUCUAGAAAGUGAUGCACGUGAUGUUGGACCGAUACGAAUAAUCAUACUCAAAAGGUCCGCUUCAUAGGUAACCCAAUGUAGAAGACAUUGUGUGAACGAAGGUACUGUAAGCAGUGGAGUGGCAUUACGUCCACGACCUGUUGAGGUUCAGCUUCGCUUCUAGGUUUCC
Molecule: non-coding RNA, 983 nt
Filed under: Trichomonas vaginalis G3
Lineage: Eukaryota; Parabasalia; Trichomonadida; Trichomonadidae
Description: Eukaryotic large subunit ribosomal RNA
Rfam family: Eukaryotic large subunit ribosomal RNA
Source: Rfam by way of RNAcentral